GCGAGGCAAUACCAGACAUCAGCUUGCAAUUCCUAAGAUUCCCUCUGCCCCAAGGGUUCCUCUGUUUUUCUCCAUCCAUCUAGGCAUGCGAUGAAACCAGAAAGCCACAGACAUCACCACUGUGCCAAUCCUGGAGCCUAAGGACCUUCAUCUUCCAUCUUGACUCCAUCUUCCAGAGUGUCCUAUGUUAGUGUGAAGUGGAAUAUCUGGGAGUGUUAGUUGUCCUUACUGGGAAAAACAGUGACUAUCUCUGUUUCUCUAUUACCUAAUAACUGACUGCUCACCUCUGAGGAAAGAGCUCACAGUCUCCUUUGAGAGGUCUCUCUGGACUCCUAGGAAACACCUUAUAUCCUUGCCAUACAUUUUCUUUCGUCUUCUGUCUAAGUAUGUUUCCCUUCUACAUCUGUCUGAAGUAGUUGUCUCCUACCCUCUCAACUGAGUUUCUCAAGGACAGGGAUAACUCAUUUCCUUGGUGAUCACUUGUGUACCAGACAUUCACUCCAUUUACUCAAUGCUCAGUAAAGUCAGUUGAGUGGUUUUCAUGUCUCUGCACAAAGUUGAUACUCAACAAAUGUUUAAGAAAUAAAUUGGUCCCCAAAGAAUCAUGGAGUUUAUAAUUGAAAGACAAAUGAAAUCCUAGAUUGCAAAAUUAUCUGCAGAUUUUAUUUCGUUGAUAUACAGGAUAGUGCCAAAGAACGUCACAUUUUGUGAUGUUUUUCUGCCACCUUUCAACAGAAGAUGCAUUAUUCUUCACUUAUAACUUUGGUGUGAACUUCCCGGCUCUUGACCCGCAGCUUGUUGACCUGGGACUCGGCAAUGUCAGCCCGCUCCUCGGCCUCCUCCAGCUCAUGCUGGAUCUUGCGGAACUUGGCCAGGUUGACAUUGGACUGUU
Mesocricetus auratus (golden hamster) is the source of this 892-nucleotide long non-coding RNA. RefSeq lists it as uncharacterized. The transcript has 3 exons. The record is from RefSeq and is a predicted model, not a curated record. Lineage: Eukaryota; Metazoa; Chordata; Mammalia; Rodentia; Cricetidae.